AUGCCGCCAGCCGCCGCUUCGUGGUCGUGGGCGUACUGCGGCUGCUGGAGGAAGAGCGCCAGAGGCGGUGCCAGCACCUACGCGUCUGGGCAGGAGGGGGACCAGUGGACGCUCUUCAUCGACCUGCCCGUGCUGGAGGCCGCCACGGCCGACCUCUCAGACCGACGACCGCAACCUCCUCGACUGCGUUGGUCGUGGCUGUCAAUGGCUCUUCCACAUCGGCCGCCGCUAGCGACAGGGCAAAAGGAAGAGGCGGUGCUGGAGACGCAACCGCGGCAGCAACAGUUGUCUUCUUCAUCGCCGCCGCCUUCAAUUAUUUCACCAGAGCCAAAGCCGACGGGUCGUGUGCGGCCGCUUCGCUGCUCCGCCAUGAGGCUUGGCGGCAGCACGGGUCUUCUUGGACUCCGUCAUGGAGAGGAGCGCGGGAGCGACGGCGAGUGUUUCGGGAUCGACGGCGGGGUUGGAGGCACCGGCCAUGGCACGUGGCGGCUGACGGCCGGCGAAGCCGCCGGUUUUCCGGCUGGGUACGGGAGGGAAAAUGACCGCGCGCGAAGGGCCCGAGCCCGGCCCGAUCUGCCCGUCGGGCUUGAUUUGCAGGCCCAAACCCGGCCCGAUGGCAUGUUCGGGCUUAGCCAGGCCCGGGAUUUUCGGGCUGGGUCGGGUCGGGCCGUCCGGGCCGAGCUGCCCGUGGCCAGGUCUACCUAUUAUAUGGCUGCUAUUGGAGAUGCUCUAACGGGCGACACACUUAAAAUAGAAGCUCCUCCGAUGAAGGACGGCCGCCCGCACGACGCGACGGCUAACCGCCGCUUGACCCGUGGGAGCGAAGUCAAGCACGCGCUUGCCCAUGUCGCGCGCGCACACACACACGACAGCGGCCGGCCAGACGGAGACCCGUCGUCGCGGUUGACGUUGAAUUCCACCGCGCGCGCAGCAGCUAGGACACACUUGUCGCUCGCUGCUGCUCGACAGCCGAACCCAUCUGCGCCGUACGCGCGUGGCCCGGUCCGGCCGGCGGCCCCGACGUCGCGCCGCCAGAGUCUUUCUCUGACUGUUUGGCGCGUGAGCGAGCGAGCAGGGAAGUCUUUCUCUGCUGUCCCCGGCGGCGUGGGGUGCCUGGUCUUUGGUUGUGCUAGCUAA
This 1137-nucleotide ribosomal RNA is filed under the name Triticum aestivum (bread wheat). RNAcentral's name for it is "partial small subunit ribosomal RNA". Lineage: Eukaryota; Viridiplantae; Streptophyta; Magnoliopsida; Poales; Poaceae. The record is from RNAcentral.